Molecule: long non-coding RNA, 1884 nt
Organism: Dermochelys coriacea (leatherback sea turtle)
Lineage: Eukaryota; Metazoa; Chordata; Testudines; Dermochelyidae
Exons: 3
Source: RefSeq, a predicted model, not a curated record
AUCUUUUGGGGUGUCUUUGACUGUCUCAUCAUUGAUGUUAGUCUGGUAGUUGCUUUACCCGGGACCAGUUUGGGCUGUGCCAUCCAUCAGCAGGAAGAACGGCAGAGAAUAACAGAGCUUCUGCUGCCUCGUGUAAAGGGGGCCUGCCUGAAAUUCCCUUAACCAUACGUCACUCAAAGGCUCUUUUUCAGGGCAAUAGCCUUCAUCUGUAGUGAAUUCCUGAUACAGAAAAGCUUCUCACAGAAACUAAAUAAUGUAAUAUAUUCCAGGUUCUGGGCAGAUAAGAAUGGAAAAGGCUGUGGUGCUUGUGGAAGUGGAAUGAUAGCGACAAGCGCCAUGUGAAAUCCCCGAAGGUGGUGUCAGAGGACACGCUCCCCCAUAAAAUUAUGAAAGAAUCUGGUGUAAUGAUGCAUUGUGAGACAAUUUGAGCAUAAAUACCACAUUCUUUCCCAUUAAUGAUUAAAUUUCAUUGUGCCAUGAUUUUUUUUAAAAAAAGAAUGUAGAUUUUGUGCACACUGAGAACAGGAAUUUCCAUUGUGAUAGUGCUGCAGUAAGAUUUAAAGAUUGUGGGGAACUAAGAAAUGAAAUGCAAAUCACUCUCACAUACAACCUCCUGCUGAGGCCCAAAUUUUUACAGAUCAGGUUCUGCAGCCCUGAUGGGGAAUCAGUGAUCUGCCUUUCCUGGGAUUCACAAAUUAGUAGUAGUCUAAGGUAUCAUUUUCUACAAUAUAAUUGUAACUUAUCCGAUGAAAGUUUGCGACUGAAGGCAGUCCUCUGAUCGUCCAUUAUUUUUCCAGCUGCUUUGCCACUGAGGAUUCUUUCACAGACAAUGCAAAUAUGCACAUCACAGCCUCCCUCUCUGAAACAUGCACUUCUUGAAUAUAAACACGUUGUGAAUAUUGUUUCCUUCUUCCUUUCUCCUUUGCUUUUUUUUUUUUUUUUUUUUGGAUAUGCAGGUGGUAAAAUACUGGCUGCCAUGAACUUCAUGUAAGAAAUAAAAAUUACCCACUUUUGGGGGCUGCUUGAUAGAAAACUGCCAGCUCGUAGCAUCACUGCUGCUGUAAUCACUGCAAGGAUAAUAGGACAUACAUGCUUUUGUGGAUAAUUUUGUUCGCUAAUUGCUCAUGAAAUUUCAGGGAUUGUUUUAGAUCUUUGUGACAUGCUUGGCACUGAGCUGAGAAGGAGGACAUGCACACUUCAGUCUAAGAAUGUGUGACAAGAGAAACGCAAAGAAGACAGGAAGAAGGGGAUAAAGCUGUGGACAAGGUGUCAAAAAUGUCCAAGUGCCUCCAGAAUGUGGUUUUGUGUAUCUGCAACAAUGACAAUGCAGGUAAAAGUGGAAUCUCAUCCAUUUGUUGGGCUGGCUGCCAGGCUAGCAGCACAAGCAUGUGGCUGGGGAAAAGAUCCUGUUAAUAUUCAUCUGAUAACUUACUUGUUGAGAGAGUGGGAAAAUUAGGCUAUAUUCUUUUAGGACAGUUACACCACAUGUGGCUAAAACUCAAGGAAGAGCGGUAAACAAUGAGAGAGGACAUACUUCUCCCCAUAUCUCCCACACACAUUCACACACAACUUAUGACAGUUUUGGGGGCUUCUGAUUUUCAUAAAGUGUUAUCUGCUGAAAAAUAAUUUCUACAACUGAGCUACCCUUCUGACUCCUGGACCUUUCCUCUCUGCAGCUUUAUUGUCAAGGCAUUCAGAUACCAUAGAGAUGAGCAUUUUGUAAGAAUGUAGAUAGACAGACUCAGAGGCCAUAGAUCUAUUGACGGCACUGUUCCCUCUACGCUGUGCGUGUGGCAUGCGCACACAGAUCCUAAAUCCCGCGCACACGGCAAAACACCACGUGCACAAAAAUGUUGACAGAAGCACAACAAUUUGCACAGAAGA